Molecule: ribosomal RNA, 259 nt
Filed under: uncultured prokaryote
Description: partial 16S ribosomal RNA
Rfam family: Bacterial small subunit ribosomal RNA
Source: RNAcentral
CACGUAGGAGGCGAACGUUAUCCGGAUUUAUUGGGUUUAAAGGGUGCGCAGGUUGUUUGAUAAGUCAGUGGUGAAAGUCUGUCGCUUAACGGUAGGAUUGCCAUUGAUACUGUUGGACUUGAAUAUGGAUGAGGUAGGCGGAAUGUGUAGUGUAGCGGUGAAAUGCAUAGAUAUUACACAGAACACCGAUUGCGAAGGCAGCUUACUAAUCCAUCAUUGACGCUGAGGCACGAAAGCGUGGGGAUCAAACAGGAUUAGA